AGAGCGAACGCUGGCGGCAGGCCUAACACAUGCAAGUCGAACGGACUCUUCGGAGUUAGUGGCGGACGGGUGAGUAACACGUGGGAACGUGCCUUUUGGUUCGGAAUAGCUCCUGGAAACGGGUGGUAAUGCCGAAUGUGCCCUUCGGGGGGAAAGAUUUAUCGCCAUUAGAGCGGCCCGCGUCUGAUUAGCUAGUUGGUGAGGUAAAGGCUCACCAAGGCUACGAUCCGUAGCUGGUCUGAGAGGAUGAUCAGCCACACUGGAACUGAGACACGGUCCAGACUCCUACGGGAGGCGGCAGUGGGGAAUAUUGGACAGUGGGCGCAAGCCUGAUCCAGCCAUACCGCGUGGGUGAAGAA
Molecule: ribosomal RNA, 359 nt
Filed under: uncultured soil bacterium
Lineage: Bacteria
Description: bacterial SSU rRNA
Rfam family: Bacterial small subunit ribosomal RNA
Source: RNAcentral